Long non-coding RNA from Ahaetulla prasina, 617 nucleotides. RefSeq lists it as uncharacterized. NCBI's taxonomy places the organism in Eukaryota, Metazoa, Chordata, Lepidosauria, Squamata, Colubridae. The record is from RefSeq and is a predicted model, not a curated record. The transcript is spliced from 3 exons.
AAUCAAUCAGGGAGGACGGGCACAAAGGGGAUGGCCAGCUUCGAAGUAGUCACCUUCGAGUCGAGAUCGACACUUCCGUGCCUUUUCUUGGCAUCAAUAGGAAGCGGCUGUCUAUGCUGCCUUCGACAGCGUUAACCUACUUCUCCCUCUACGGCCCUGUAAUUCCCAGCAGAUCCCCGAUCCACGUAGCAACGAUGCGCGCAGCCCCUUUUGUACUUCCUAGGAAACCAAACAGAUCAUGAACAGCUACCUCCGAGGAAGCUCAAAUUCUUUGGCACGGCCGGCCUGGACAAAGAAAAGCUGACAACAAAACGCACUUCGCAGCCUUUUAAUUUCUUACAUAGAUACAUAUCUUACUUUAACGAAAUUUGGGAGGCUCUCCGCCACAGCAGAAAGCCUUCUAGACAAAUACAAAAAGAGCUGAAGUCACUGAGAUGGAAGGGCGCGCGGCAUUCACCCACGGAGAACAAAACACGUUUCAGGGCAAGGAUUUUCUCUACGUGAUGGAAGAGUGUCCCAUCCACAUAAAUCAAUGCUCAGGAUGUCAUGAACAGGAUCCCACAAGUCAAAUCUGUGUACAGCUGACCAAGUCAUGCUCUCAUAUGUGCACUCCUCUA